RNAcentral lists this ribosomal RNA (508 nucleotides) under uncultured Diversispora. RNAcentral describes it as "SSU rRNA". It matches the Rfam family "Eukaryotic small subunit ribosomal RNA", at positions 569 to 1077 of the family's 1831-position model. The record is from RNAcentral. Lineage: Eukaryota; Fungi; Glomeromycota; Glomeromycetes; Diversisporales; Diversisporaceae.
AGCAGCCGCGGUAAUUCCAGCUCCAAUAGCGUAUAUUAAAGUUGUUGCAGUUAAAAAGCUCGUAGUUGAACUUCGGGGUCUACCCAUUGGUCAGGCUUAAUUGUCUGCACUGGUGGGAUGGAUCUCUACCUUCUGAGGAACUUUCAUGCCAUUUAUUUGGUGUGAUUGGAAAUCAGGGCUGUUACUUUGAAAAAAUUAGAGUGUUUAAAGCAGACUAUCGUCUGAAUACAUUAGCAUGGAAUAAUGAAAUAGGACGGACUGAUUCUAUUUCGUUGGUUUCUAGGAUCACCGUAAUGAUUAAUAGGGAUAGUUGGGGGCAUUAGUAUUCAAUUGUCAGAGGUGAAAUUCUUGGAUUUAUUGAAGACUAACUACUGCGAAAGCAUUUGCCAAGGAUGUUUUCAUUAAUCAAGAACGAAAGUUAGGGGAUCGAAGACGAUCAGAUACCGUCGUAGUCUUAACCAUAAACUAUGCCGACUAGGGAUCGGAUGAUGUUAAUUUUUAAUGACUC